This 537-nucleotide ribosomal RNA is filed under the name Apilactobacillus kunkeei. RNAcentral's name for it is "bacterial SSU rRNA". It matches the Rfam family "Bacterial small subunit ribosomal RNA", at positions 348 to 876 of the family's 1533-position model. Lineage: Bacteria; Bacillati; Bacillota; Bacilli; Lactobacillales; Lactobacillaceae. The record is from RNAcentral.
GCAGCAGUUGGCACUCUUGCUCAAUUGUCCCAAGUGGGAAGGAGCAACGCCGCGUGAGUGAUGAAGGUGUUGGGAUCCUAAAACUCCGUUGUUAAAGAAGAACAAGUGUUAGAGUAACCGUUAACACUUUGCCGGUAUUUAACCAGAAAGUCACGGCUAACUACGUGCCAGCAGCCGCGGUAAUACGUAGGUGGCAAGCGUUGUCCGGAUUUUUUGGGCGUAAAGCGAGCGCAGGCGGUUUUGUAAGUUUGUCUGUGAAAGCCCUCAGCUCAACUGAGGAAGUGCAGUGGAAACUACAAAACUUGAGUACAGAAGAGGAAAGUGGAACUCCAUGUGUAGCGGUGAAAUGCGUAGAUAUAUGGAAGAACACCAGUGGCGAAGGCGGCUUUCUGGUCUGUUACUGACGCUGAGGCUCGAAAGCAUGGGUAGCGAACAGGAUUAGAUACCCUGGUAGUCCAUGCCGUAAACGAUGAAUACUAGGUGUUGGAGGGUUUCCGCCCUUCAGUGCCGCAGCUAACGCAUUAAGUAUCCGCCUGG